RNAcentral lists this ribosomal RNA (253 nucleotides) under uncultured bacterium. RNAcentral's name for it is "partial 16S ribosomal RNA". It matches the Rfam family "Bacterial small subunit ribosomal RNA", at positions 524 to 776 of the family's 1533-position model. The record is from RNAcentral.
GACGGGGGAUGCAAGUGUUAUCCGGAAUCACUGGGCGUAAAGCGUCUGCAGGUGGUUUCCUAAGUCCACUGUUAAACCUUGAGGCUCAACCUCAAAUCUGCAUUGGAAACUAGGAGACUUGAGUAUAGUAGGGGUAGAGGGAAUUUCCAGUGGAGCGGUGAAAUGCGUAGAUAUUGGAAAGAACACCGAUGGCGAAGGCACUCUACUGGGCUAUUACUGACACUGAGGCACGAAAGCUAGGGGAGCAAACAGG